AAUAUUGGAAAACGGGGGCAACCCUGAUCCAGCCAUGCCGCUUUUUUGUAGAAGUUCUUCGCUUUGUAAAGCACUUUAAGUUAGGAGGAAUGGCUCUAUGUUAAUACCCUGAAGUAUUAACGUUACCAACUGAAUAAGUACCGUAUAUGUCUGUGCAAGCAGCCGCGGUAAUACAGAGGGUGCAAGCGUUAAUCUGAAUUACUGGGCGUAAAGCGCACGCAAGUUGUUCAGUAAUAUGGGUGUUAAAUCCCCGGGCUUAACCUGGGAACUGCUUUCAUAACUACUGUGCUAUAGUACCGUAGAAGGUAGUGGAAUUUCAUGUUUAGCGGUGAAAUGCUUAGAUAUAGGAAGGAACACCAGUGGCGAAGGCCACUACCUAGUCUGUUACUGACACUGGAGUGCGAAACCGUGGGGAGCAAGC
Molecule: ribosomal RNA, 421 nt
Filed under: uncultured bacterium
Lineage: Bacteria
Description: partial 16S ribosomal RNA
Rfam family: Bacterial small subunit ribosomal RNA
Source: RNAcentral